GUCCUAGCCCUAAACGAUCAGGACUUGGGUGCCGCCCGUUCGGGCGUCGUCCCGGAGCUAACGCGUUAAGUCCUGCACCUGGGGAGUACGGUCGCAAGACUGAAACUCAAAGGAAUUGACGGGGCCCGCACAAGCGGUGGAACAUGUGGUUCAAUUCGACGCUACGCGAGGAACCUUACCUGGGCUCGAAAUGCUAGUGACCAGCUUUAGAAAUAUUGCCUUCCCGCAAGGGACACUAGUAUAGGCGCUGCAUGGCUGUCGU
This 262-nucleotide ribosomal RNA is filed under the name uncultured bacterium. Its description in RNAcentral is "partial 16S ribosomal RNA". It matches the Rfam family "Bacterial small subunit ribosomal RNA", at positions 793 to 1055 of the family's 1533-position model. The record is from RNAcentral.